This 497-nucleotide ribosomal RNA is filed under the name uncultured bacterium. RNAcentral describes it as "partial 16S ribosomal RNA". It matches the Rfam family "Bacterial small subunit ribosomal RNA", at positions 28 to 507 of the family's 1533-position model. The record is from RNAcentral.
GACGAACGCUGGCGGCGUGCCUAAUACAUGCAAGUAGAACGCUGAAGAGAGGAGCUUGCUCUUCUUGGAUGAGUUGCGAACGGGUGAGUAACGCGUAGGUAACCUGCCUUGUAGCGGGGGAUAACUAUUGGAAACGAUAGCUAAUACCGCAUAACAAUGGAUGACACAUGUCAUUUAUUUGAAAGGGGCAAUUGCUCCACUACAAGAUGGACCUGCGUUGUAUUAGCUAGUAGGUGAGGUAAUGGCUCACCUAGGCGACGAUACAUAGCCGACCUGAGAGGGUGAACGGCCACACUGGGAGUGAGACACGGCCCAGACUCCGACGGGAGGCAGCAGUAGGGAAUCUUCGGCGAUAGGGGCAACCCUGACCGAGCAACGCCGCGUGAGUGAAGAAGGUUUUCGGAUCGGAAAGCGCUGUUGUAAGUCAAGAACGGGUGUGAGAGUGGAAAGUUCACACUGUGACGGUAGCUUACCAGAAAGGGACGGCUAACUACGUG